This 478-nucleotide ribosomal RNA is filed under the name uncultured bacterium. Its description in RNAcentral is "partial 16S ribosomal RNA". It matches the Rfam family "Bacterial small subunit ribosomal RNA", at positions 28 to 523 of the family's 1533-position model. The record is from RNAcentral.
GACGAACGCUGGCGGCGUGCUUAACACAUGCAAGUCGAACGGUAAGGCCCUUCGGGGUACACAAGUGGCGAACGGGUGAGUAACACGUGGGUGAUCUGCCCUGCACUUCGGGAUAAGCCUGGGAAACUGGGUCUAAUACCGGAUAGGACUCCUGGCUUCAUGGUUGGGGGUGGAAAGCUUUUGCGGUGUGGGAUGGGCCCGCGGCCUAUCAGCUUGUUGGUGGGGUAAUGGCCUACCAAGGCGACGACGGGUAGCCGGCCUGAGAGGGUGACCGGUCACACUGGGACUGAGAUACGGCCCAGACGCCUACGGGAGGCAGCAGUGGGGAAUAUUGCACAAUGGGCGCAAGCCUGAUGCAGCGACGCCGCGUGAGGGAUGACGGCCUUCGGGUUGUAAACCUCUUCCAGCUAUGACGAAGCGCAAGUGACGGUAGUAGCAGAAGAAGGACCGGCCAACUACGUGCCAGCAGCCGCGGUAA